RNAcentral lists this ribosomal RNA (490 nucleotides) under uncultured bacterium. RNAcentral's name for it is "partial 16S ribosomal RNA". It matches the Rfam family "Bacterial small subunit ribosomal RNA", at positions 30 to 507 of the family's 1533-position model. The record is from RNAcentral.
AUUGAACGCUGGCGGCAGGCCUAACACAUGCAAGUCGAACGGUAACAGGAAGAAGCUUGCUUCUUUGCUGACGAGUGGCGGACGGGUGAGUAAUGUCUGGGAAACUGCCUGAUGGAGGGGGAUAACUACUGGAAACGGUAGCUAAUACCGCAUAACGUCGCAAGACCAAAGAGGGGGACCUUCGGGCCUCUUGCCAUCGGAUGUGCCCAGAUGGGACUAGCUAGUAGGUGGGGUAACGGCUUACCUAGGCGACGAUCCCUAGCUGGUCUGAGAGGAUGACCAGCCACACUGGAACUGAGACACGGUCCAGACUCCUACGGGAGGCAGCAGUGGGGAAUAUUGCACAAUGGGCGCAAGCCUGAUGCAGCCAUGCCGCGUGUAUGAAGAAGGCCUUCGGGUUGUAAAGUACUUUCAGCGGGGAGGAAGGGAGUAAAGUUAAUACCUUUGCUCAUUGACGUUACCCGCAGAAGAAGCACCGGCUAACUCCGUG